RNAcentral lists this ribosomal RNA (517 nucleotides) under uncultured Glomus. RNAcentral's name for it is "SSU rRNA". It matches the Rfam family "Eukaryotic small subunit ribosomal RNA", at positions 569 to 1089 of the family's 1831-position model. Lineage: Eukaryota; Fungi; Glomeromycota; Glomeromycetes; Glomerales; Glomeraceae. The record is from RNAcentral.
AGCAGCCGCGGUAAUUCCAGCUCCAAUAGCGUAUAUUAAAGUUGCUGCAGUUAAAAAGCUCGUAGUUGAAUUUCGGGACCAUCAUGUCGGUCGUACCUCGGAAUGUACUGGCAUUGUUGGUUUCUCCCUUCUGACGAACCAUGAUGUCAUUAAUUUGGUGUCAUGGGGAAUCAGGACUGUUACUUUGAAAAAAUUAGAGUGUUUAAAGCAGGCUCACGCUUGAAUACAUUAGCAUGGAAUAAUGAAAUAGGACGUUUGAUUCUAUUUUGUUGGUUUCUAGGAUCGACGUAAUGAUUAAUAGGGAUAGUUGGGGGCAUUAGUAUUCAAUUGUCAGAGGUGAAAUUCUUGGAUUUAUUGAAGACUAACUACUGCGAAAGCAUUUGCCAAGGAUGUUUUCAUUAAUCAAGAACGAAAGUUAGGGGAUCGAAGACGAUCAGAUACCGUCGUAGUCUUAACCAUAAACUAUGCCGACUAGGGAUCGGAUGAUGUUAAUUUUUAAUGACUCAUUCGGCGUCCG